Molecule: ribosomal RNA, 470 nt
Filed under: uncultured bacterium
Lineage: Bacteria
Description: bacterial SSU rRNA
Rfam family: Bacterial small subunit ribosomal RNA
Source: RNAcentral
AGAGUUUGAUCCUGGCUCAGAACGAACGCUGGCGGCAGGCUUAACACAUGCAAGUCGAACGCUCCGCAAGGGGAGUGGCAGACGGGUGAGUAACACGUGGGAACGUGCCCGAAGGUACGGAACAACGCUGGGAAACUGGCGCUAAUACCGUAUGUGUCCGCAAGGAGAAAGAUUUAUCGCCUUCGGAUCGGCCCGCGUCGGAUUAGCUAGUUGGUGGGGUAAAAGCCUACCAAGGCGACGAUCCGUAGCUGUUCUUAGAGGAAGACCAGCCACACUGGGACUGAGACACGGCCCAGACUCCUACGGGAGGCAGCAGUGGGGAAUCUUGGACAAUGGGCGCAAGCCUGAUCCAGCCAUGCCGCGUGGAUGAUGAAGGCCUUAGGGUUGUAAAAUCCUUUCAGCGGGGACGAUAAUGACGGUACCCGCAGAAGAAGCCCCGGCUAACUUCGUGCCAGCCGCCGCGGUAAUUC